Molecule: ribosomal RNA, 432 nt
Filed under: uncultured bacterium
Lineage: Bacteria
Description: bacterial SSU rRNA
Rfam family: Bacterial small subunit ribosomal RNA
Source: RNAcentral
GAUGAACGCUGGCGGCGUGCUUAACACAUGCAAGUCGAACGAACCUUCGGGUUAGUGGCGGACGGGUGAGUAACGCGUGAGAAUCUGCCCUCAGGAGGGGGACAACAGCUGGAAACGGCCGCUAAUACCCCAUAUGCCGAGAGGUGAAAUGAAUUUCGCCUGAGGAUGAGCUCGCGUCUGAUUAGCUUGUUGGUAAGGUAAUGGCUUACCAAGGCAUCGAUCAGUAGCUGGUCUGAGAGGAUGAUCAGCCACACUGGGACUGAGACACGGCCCAGACUCCUACGGGAGGCAGCAGUGGGGAAUUUUCCGCAAUGGGCGAAAGCCUGACGGAGCAACGCCGCGUGAGGGAUGAAGGCCUCUGGGCUGUAAACCUCUUUUAUCAAGGAAGAAGAUCUGACGGUACUUGAUGAAUAAGCCACGGCUAAUUCCGUG